RNAcentral lists this ribosomal RNA (253 nucleotides) under uncultured bacterium. Its description in RNAcentral is "partial 16S ribosomal RNA". It matches the Rfam family "Bacterial small subunit ribosomal RNA", at positions 524 to 776 of the family's 1533-position model. The record is from RNAcentral.
UACGGAGGGAGCUAGCGUUGUUCGGAAUUACUGGGCGUAAAGCGCGCGUAGGCGGCUUUGUAAGUUAGAGGUGAAAGCCCGGGGCUCAACCCCGGAAUUGCCUUUAAGACUGCAUCGCUUGAAUCCGGGAGAGGUGAGUGGAAUUCCGAGUGUAGAGGUGAAAUUCGUAGAUAUUCGGAAGAACACCAGUGGCGAAGGCGGCUCACUGGACCGGCAUUGACGCUGAGACGCGAAAGCGUGGGGAGCAAACAGG